RNAcentral lists this ribosomal RNA (443 nucleotides) under uncultured bacterium. Its description in RNAcentral is "partial 16S ribosomal RNA". It matches the Rfam family "Bacterial small subunit ribosomal RNA", at positions 338 to 795 of the family's 1533-position model. The record is from RNAcentral.
CCUACGGGUGGCAGCAGUGGGGAAUAUUGCACAAUGGGCGAAAGCCUGAUGCAGCAACGCCGCGUGAAGGAAGAAGGGUUUCGGCUCGUAAACUUCUAUCAACAGGGACGAAAGAAAUGACGGUACCUGAAUAAGAAGCCCCGGCAAACUACGUGCCAGCAGCCGCGGUAAUACGGAGGGGGCAAGCGUUAGGCGGAAUUACUGGGUGUAAAGGGUGAGUAGGCGGGAUGGUAAGGCAGAUGGGAAAGCCUUGGGAUUAACCCAAGGAUUGCAUUUGGAACUGGCAAGCUAGAGUACAGGAGAGGUAAGCGGAAUUCCUGGUGUAGCGGUGAAAUGCGUAGAUAUUAGGAAGAACACCAGUUGCGAAGGCGGCUUUCUGGACUGAAACUGACGCUGAGGCACGAAAGCGUGGGGAGCGAACAGGAUUAGAUACCCCAGUAGUC